Molecule: small nuclear RNA, 102 nt
Organism: Dipodomys ordii (Ord's kangaroo rat)
Lineage: Eukaryota; Metazoa; Chordata; Mammalia; Rodentia; Heteromyidae
Source: Ensembl
UUGACCCCCCCCCAAAAAAAGUUAAGUGAAACCAUACAGAGAAGACUGGCACAGCCCCUGUGAAAGGAUGAUACACAAAUUCAGGUCUGGUCCGCUACUACU